AAUUGUCACCAUCCAUCUACCGAUAUUAAACCCAAGGAGAUUGUUAAGCACUGUCAAGCUUUCAUCUUCUCCCUUGUAACCCAUCAUCUACUGCAUUACAAUCCCAGGCUUUCAAUGUGCCCAGAACGGUUUAGCCGGAGUGCGCUUCAGUGCCUUCACUGCCAAAGGAUUGCCCUUGCUCUGCCAAACAAACAACUGUUAAAAACUUCAAUUGAAACAAAUAGAAUGAAAGGAUUGAUGACUUUGGACUCAAGCGUACCAUCAAGCAGGUGCCUUCAUGUAUGUUGCACACAGGGUAGUCAUGAGGGCAGCAGCUGUAGCGAUCUUCGCAGCAAGUGGCAGCCUCGAGUGGGCAGCAUCCCCAAGCAAAGCAGUAGUUAUAGUACUCGUAUAUGCAGCAGCAGGUAUUGCUCUCGGGACAGGAAUAAUAACUAUCGCACACGGUCGGAGGUUUUAUAGGAGAUGGUGGAGACGGUCCGGGAUUGGGGGGAUUUUCACCUGUUUUGAUCGGAUAAGAGGCUUCCAUCGCGAUCCCACAUUUGCCAGUUACGGUAUUGGCCACAUUCCUUGCCAUCCUGAUAUAGCCUGCUUCUCCCCAGCUGCUUCCCCAUGAGUUCUUUACAAUCCAAUAGUCUUUACCUUUCUCUGUGCCAUAUCCAACAGCAGUGACACCGUGGUCUAGUUGUGUUCCACAUUUUCCAUCAAAUAUACCCUGGAAAAAACCGUAAAAAUGUCAUUUAUCGGACAGUGCUCGGACUUUGAUAAUCCAGUUGUGGUCUUGCAGCAACUAGUAAUUUUGAUGGAUGCAGAAUCUUACUGAUUGAUAUAACUGGAAACUCCUUCCUCCUGCCUCAAUGGCAACGCUCACCGGUUGAUUCGCGACUGCCUUUUUCAAUGCUUUCUCGUCAUUUACCGGAACAUCCUCAUAAUCAUUGAUCGAAACAACUUUAGCAUUUUUCUGCAAGGUGAUUAAAAACACCAAGAUUCAGCAAGGAAAUUGAAAUUCUAUCUUUGUUCCUUUCCCAACUCUAAAAAUAAGAAACCUACCCGGUAUGGGUCACAUGUACCGUCAUGAGCGGUGUAAGGGUAAUCUUCUUCGGUGUCAAUGCCACCAUUUUUGAUGAUGAAUUCAAAGGCAUAAUCCAUGAGACCCCCAUUGCAACCUUCAUUGUAAGAUGUAUCACAAUCCACCAACUCCUGCUCAGAUAGUGAAAGGAGUUCGCCUGUAACAAUCUGGUUUAUCCCUUCCACAGCAGCAAUAGUCGAGAAAGCCCAGC
Molecule: long non-coding RNA, 1277 nt
Filed under: Gossypium barbadense (sea-island cotton)
Lineage: Eukaryota; Viridiplantae; Streptophyta; Magnoliopsida; Malvales; Malvaceae
Description: long non-coding RNA (GBAR_LNC013415)
Source: RNAcentral